GACGAACGCUGGCGGCGUGCCUAAUACAUGCAAGUAGAACGCUGAAGGAGGAGCUUGCUUCUCUGGAUGAGUUGCGAACGGGUGAGUAACGCGUAGGUAACCUGCCUGGUAGCGGGGGAUAACUAUUGGAAACGAUAGCUAAUACCGCAUAAGAGUAGAUGUUGCAUGACAUUUGCUUAAAAGGUGCAAUUGCAUCACUACCAGAUGGACCUGCGUUGUAUUAGCUAGUUGGUGGGGUAACGGCUCACCAAGGCGACGAUACAUAGCCGACCUGAGAGGGUGAGCGGCCACACUGGGACUGAGACACGGCCCAGACUCCUACGGGAGGCAGCAGUAGGGAAUCUUCGGCAAUGGACGGAAGUCUGACCGAGCAACGCCGCGUGAGUGAAGAAUGGUGUCGGAUCGUAAAGCUCUGUUGUAAGAGAAGAACGAGUGUGAGAGUGGAAAGUUCACACUGUGACGGUAUCUUACCAGAAAGGGACGGCUAACUACGUG
RNAcentral lists this ribosomal RNA (495 nucleotides) under uncultured bacterium. RNAcentral describes it as "partial 16S ribosomal RNA". It matches the Rfam family "Bacterial small subunit ribosomal RNA", at positions 28 to 507 of the family's 1533-position model. The record is from RNAcentral.